UUAAUUGGAAGCUCGACUAAAACCGCCACGUCCUGUGGCAACGUCGAACGACCCCACAUCGUGUGGG
Molecule: small RNA, 67 nt
Organism: Pontibacillus chungwhensis BH030062
Lineage: Bacteria; Bacillati; Bacillota; Bacilli; Caryophanales; Bacillaceae
Rfam family: Bacillaceae-1 RNA
Source: Rfam